RNAcentral lists this RNase P RNA (366 nucleotides) under Actinomycetota bacterium. RNAcentral describes it as "Actinobacteria bacterium RNase P RNA component class A". It matches the Rfam family "Bacterial RNase P class A". From Rfam's summary of the family: Ribonuclease P (RNase P) is a ubiquitous endoribonuclease, found in archaea, bacteria and eukarya as well as chloroplasts and mitochondria. The record is from RNAcentral. Lineage: Bacteria; Bacillati; Actinomycetota.
GGAGUCGGCCAGGCGACCGCGGUGGACGUUGGUCCAUCGAGGAAAGUCCGGACUCCGCAGGGCAGGACGCUGGGUAACUCCCAGGCGUGGCGACACGCGGCACGUGCAACAGAAAGCAGACCGCCCGCGCGGCCCAGAUCGCGCAGGUAAGGGUGAAACGGUGCGGUAAGAGCGCACCGGCGUCGGCGGUGACGUCGACGGCCAGGUGAACCCCGUCCGGAGCAAGGCCAAGCAGGUGCGUCGAGGUGGCCCGCUGAGCACCAGGUAGGCCGCUGGAGGCCGUCGGCAACGACGGUCCGAGAUAGAUGGUCGCCCCACCGAGUACAUCGGUGCUGACAGAAUCCGGCUUAUCGGCCGGCUCCCCGC